CCUACGGGAGGCAGCAGUGAGGAAUAUUGGUCAAUGGGCGCUAGCCUGAACCAGCCAAGUAGCGUGAAGGAUGACUGCCCUAUGGGUUGUAAACUUCUUUUAUAUGGGAAUAAAGUGCAGUAUGUAUACUGCUUUGCAUGUACCUUAUGAAUAAGCAUCGGCUAACUCCGUGCCAGCAGCCGCGGUAAUACGGAGGAUCCGAGCGUUAUCCGGAUUUAUUGGGUUUAAAGGGUGCGUAGGCGGGUUGUUAAGUCAGUUGUGAAAUUUUGCGGCUCAACCGUAUAAUUGCAGUUGAUACUGGCAUCCUUGAGUGCAGUAGAGGUAGGCGGAAUUCGUGGUGUAGCGGUGAAAUGCAUAGAUAUCACGAAGAACUCCGAUUGCGAAGGCAGCCUGCUGGACUGUAACUGACGCUGAUGCUCGAAAGUGUGGGUAUCGAACAGGAUUAGAUACCCUAGUAGUC
RNAcentral lists this ribosomal RNA (460 nucleotides) under uncultured bacterium. Its description in RNAcentral is "partial 16S ribosomal RNA". It matches the Rfam family "Bacterial small subunit ribosomal RNA", at positions 338 to 795 of the family's 1533-position model. The record is from RNAcentral.